RNAcentral lists this ribosomal RNA (481 nucleotides) under uncultured bacterium. RNAcentral describes it as "partial 16S ribosomal RNA". It matches the Rfam family "Bacterial small subunit ribosomal RNA", at positions 28 to 507 of the family's 1533-position model. The record is from RNAcentral.
GAUGAACGCUGGCGGCGUGCUUAACACAUGCAAGUCGAACGAAGCACUUUAUUUGAUUUCCUUCGGGACUGAUUAUUUUGUGACUGAGUGGCGGACGGGUGAGUAACGCGUGGGUAACCUGCCUUGUACAGGGGGAUAACAGUUGGAAACGGCUGCUAAUACCGCAUAAGCGCACAGCAUCGCAUGAUGCAGGGUGAAAAACUCCGGUGGUAUAAGAUGGACCCGCGUUGGAUUAGCUAGUUGGUGAGGUAACGGCCCACCAAGGCGACGAUCCAUAGCCGACAUGAGAGGGUGACCGGCCACAUUGGGACUGAGACACGGCCCAGACUCCUACGGGAGGCAGCAGUGGGGAAUAUUGCACAAUGGCCGAAAGCCUGAUGCAGCGACGCCGCGUGAGCGAAGAAGUAUUUCGGUAUGUAAAGCUCUAUCAGCAGGGAAGAUAAUGACGGUACCUGAAGAAGAAGCACCGGCUAAAUACGUG